UACUGAGAAAGUGCAGUCUCUCAGCCUC
This 28-nucleotide non-coding RNA is filed under the name Mus musculus (house mouse). The record is from RNAcentral. Lineage: Eukaryota; Metazoa; Chordata; Mammalia; Rodentia; Muridae.